CUCACCAGGUCAGGACACGGUAAGGAUUGACGGACUGAAGGCUCUUCUCGAUUCCGUGGAAGUGGUGCAUGGCCGUUUUGGUGGUGGAUCGAUCCGUCUGGUUAAUUCCGUUAACGAACGAGACCUCGGCACUCCGAAUAGCGCGGCGGACGUCGCGGCCUCCGGGCCGUCUUCCGCACGAGCUUCUUAGAGGGACCGUCCCCCGCCGGGGAAGGAGGUGCGAGGCAACGACAGGUCUGUGAUGCCCUUAGAUGUUCUGGGCCGCACGCGCAUUACACUGACGCGUCCAACGGGUGACUCCCGACCCGAAGGGGCCGGGGAAUCCGCAAGGCGCGUCGUGAUGGGGAUUGAACGUUGCAAUUGUUGUUCACGAACGAGGAAUUCCUAGUAGGCGCGGGUCAUCAACCCCGCGCCGAUUACGUCCCUGCCCUUUGUACACACCGCA
RNAcentral lists this ribosomal RNA (445 nucleotides) under uncultured eukaryote. RNAcentral describes it as "bacterial SSU rRNA". It matches the Rfam family "Eukaryotic small subunit ribosomal RNA", at positions 1214 to 1673 of the family's 1831-position model. The record is from RNAcentral.